This 495-nucleotide ribosomal RNA is filed under the name uncultured bacterium. RNAcentral's name for it is "partial 16S ribosomal RNA". It matches the Rfam family "Bacterial small subunit ribosomal RNA", at positions 28 to 507 of the family's 1533-position model. The record is from RNAcentral.
GACGAACGCUGGCGGCGUGCCUAAUACAUGCAAGUAGAACGCUGAAGGAGGAGCUUGCUUCUCUGGAUGAGUUGCGAACGGGUGAGUAACGCGUAGGUAACCUGCCUGGUAGCGGGGGAUAACUAUUGGAAACGAUAGCUAAUACCGCAUAAGAUUGACUAUUGCAUGAUAGUCAGUUAAAAGGUGCAAUUGCAUCACUACCAGAUGGACCUGCGUUGGAUUAGCUAGUUGGUGGGGUAACGGCUCACCAAGGCGACGAUACAUAGCCGACCUGAGAGGGUGGUCGGCCACACUGGGACUGAGCACCGGCCCAGACUCCUACGGGAAGCAGCAGUAGGGAAACUUCGGCAAUGGACGGAAGGCUGACCGAGCAACGCCGCGUGAGUGAAGGAGGUUUUCGGAUCGUAAAGAUCUGUUGUAAGAGAAGAACGAGUGUGAGAGUGGAAAGUUCACACUGUGACGGUAUCUUACCAGAAAGGGACGGCUAACUACGUG